AAAAAUGAUAGCUCAUGUGUAACUGUGUGUCAGGUGUCAUUCUGAGCACUUGACACACAUGGCCUUAUUCAGUCCUCACGUUCGUCUUUAUUAUUCACAUUCUCCAGAUGAGGAAACAGAAUUAGAGAAAGUUGAAUAACUGGCCAAGGUUAAAUGCUAUUAACAUUGGCAAAUUGGGUAGAGGAGUUGCUGAAGACGUGGGAGGAAUCGCAGGUGUCUCCAGGUGUUCAAGGCUGGAGGGCAGGGAACACAAUUUGGAUGGUUUUGUGGGUGAUGGGUGGCAUUGCCCUCAUUCUGCACAUGAGAAAACAGAAGCUCAGAAGUUUUGUGGCUCACCUGGCUGUCCUCAACAAAGAGAAGUCUAAUGGUAAAGGAUUCAAAACACAUAUACUCUGAAGUCAGAAUAUUUAAAAGUGACUGUGGGAUGGUAGAAAAGGCUCACCCCCUCCCCCACCCCCAGCUGGGUCUCCCACCAACCUGCCCCGCAGGCCUGAAAUGACGCUAUUAGAGGAAUAUUGUGCUAAGCAUUCUCUUUUCCCUCCAGCCAACAUCACCUGGGAGCUUGUUAGAAAUGCAAAAUCUCAGCAUCCACCCACAGACUGACUGAUCUAGAAUCUGCAUUUUAACGAGAUUCCCAGACACCUAGACCACAUCAUAAUGUUUCUUCCAACCCUGAAGCUUUUCCGCUGCUCUGCCUACCAGUAGUAUGAACAUUUAAGGGCUUAAUUCCUUCUGCUGCAAUAUUUUGAGAUGCACGGAAGGUCAGGUGUCUGAUCCCUUCUACCAGGGAGAGAUUUGAACCAUUCAUCGGGUUUCCUAUGAGACCUCUCCUGAUGUUUACUUACCUCUUGUAGUUCAAUAAGCAUCUUUGUAAGGAAGAGGAAGAAAUUGCAGGUAUCUGAAAAGCUUAUGCACACAGCCCAAAGGGGC
This 930-nucleotide long non-coding RNA is filed under the name Vulpes vulpes (red fox). Its description in RNAcentral is "lncRNA (ENSVVUG00000014096.1)". Lineage: Eukaryota; Metazoa; Chordata; Mammalia; Carnivora; Canidae. The record is from RNAcentral.